RNAcentral lists this ribosomal RNA (413 nucleotides) under uncultured bacterium. Its description in RNAcentral is "bacterial SSU rRNA". It matches the Rfam family "Bacterial small subunit ribosomal RNA", at positions 29 to 433 of the family's 1533-position model. The record is from RNAcentral.
AACGAACGCUGGCGGCGCGCCUAAUACAUGCAAGUCGAGCGAGAAGACGUAGCAAUACGUUUGUAAAGCGGCGAACGGGUGAGGAAUACAUGGGUAACCUACCCUCGAGUGGGGAAUAACUAGCCGAAAGGUUAGCUAAUACCGCGUACGCUCCUUGGACUUCGGUUCAGGGAGGAAAGCGAUACCGUGGGUAUCGCGCUCUUGGAUGGGCUCAUGUCCUAUCAGCUUGUUGGUGAGGAACGGCUCACCAAGGCUUCGACGGGUAGCUGGUCUGAGAGGACGAUCAGCCACACUGGCACUGCGACACGGGCCAGACUCCUACGGGAGGCAGCAGUAAGGAAUAUUGCGCAAUGGGCGAAAGCCUGACGCAGCGACGCCGCGUGGGGGAUGAAGGUCUUCGGAUUGUAAACCCC